RNAcentral lists this ribosomal RNA (632 nucleotides) under uncultured Actinomycetes bacterium. Its description in RNAcentral is "bacterial SSU rRNA". It matches the Rfam family "Bacterial small subunit ribosomal RNA", at positions 242 to 885 of the family's 1533-position model. Lineage: Bacteria; Bacillati; Actinomycetota; Actinomycetes. The record is from RNAcentral.
CAGCUUGUUGGUGGGGUAAUGGCCUACCAAGGCGACGACGGGUAGCCGACCUGAGAGGGUGACCGGCCACACUGGGACUGAGACACGGCCCAGACUCCUACGGGAGGCAGCAGUGGGGAAUAUUGCACAAUGGGCGAAAGCCUGAUGCAGCGACGCCGCGUGAGGGAUGAAGGCCUUCGGGUUGUAAACCUCUUUCAGCAGGGACGAAGCGCAAGUGACGGUACCUGCAGAAGAAGCACCGGCUAACUACGUGCCAGCAGCCGCGGUAAUACGUAGGGUGCGAGCGUUGUCCGGAAUUACUGGGCGUAAAGAGUUCGUAGGCGGUUUGUCGCGUCGUUUGUGAAAACCCGGGGCUCAACUUCGGGCUUGCAGGCGAUACGGGCAGACUUGAGUGUUUCAGGGGAGACUGGAAUUCCUGGUGUAGCGGUGAAAUGCGCAGAUAUCAGGAGGAACACCGGUGGCGAAGGCGGGUCUCUGGGAAACAACUGACGCUGAGGAACGAAAGCGUGGGUAGCAAACAGGAUUAGAUACCCUGGUAGUCCACGCCGUAAACGGUGGGCGCUAGGUGUGGGUUCCUUCCACGGAAUCUGUGCCGUAGCUAACGCAUUAAGCGCCCCGCCUGGGGANUACGG